Eriocheir sinensis (Chinese mitten crab) is the source of this 493-nucleotide long non-coding RNA. RefSeq lists it as uncharacterized. The transcript is spliced from 3 exons. The record is from RefSeq and is a predicted model, not a curated record. Lineage: Eukaryota; Metazoa; Arthropoda; Malacostraca; Decapoda; Varunidae.
UCUUAACCACUGUAUCUCAAAAACUAUUCAUCACAACUAAAAAAUAAAACAUAUUUAACAAGGCUUUUGUAAGAGUUUGGGCGGCAUUUCCAGGAGUAGUUUUGUGACCCUGGUGGUAGUGUGACCCUUCCUCUGUACCGUGAACCUAAGAAACACACAUUUGACAAGGCUUUCAUAGGAGCUGUGGGCAUUUCCAGGGGUAGUUUUGUGACUGGUGGUAGUGUGACCCUUCCUCUGUACCAUGAACCUAAGAAACACACAUUUGACAAGGCUUUCGUGGGAGUUUUUUGGGCAUUUCCAGGGGUAGUUUUGUGACCCUGGUGGUAGUGUGACCCUUCCUCUGUACCAUGAACCUAAGAAACACACAUUUGACAAGGCUUUCGUGGGAGUUCUGUGGGCAUUUCCAGGGGUAGUUUUAUGACCCUGGUGGUAGUGUGACCCUUCCUCUGUACCGUGAACCUAAGAAACACACAUUUGACAAGGCUUUCUUAGG